GGAAGUGCUUGCAGAGGGGAGGGGCAUGCAAAAAAUGUCCUCAGGCACUGGGAAGAGGGAGAACCCAGCGGCUUCCAAAGUACCUGCUCUGCACCCCUGCCAUGCCUCCGUCAAAGCUGACCUAGCCUAUCUGGUACAUAUUCACCAUAAUAAACUUUUCUUACUCUCUUAUUCAUCUGUAACAACUUUCCUAGUGAUGUGCUGAGGAGGAUUCUUUGCCCUGCUUUCUGUGCUGGUGAGACCAUCGGAUAUAGCAGAGGAAACUCAGAGUACUUUGGUGGGGGGGUAAGUAAAAAAAAAAAACUUUUCUUUCCCUAAUGGCGUUAUAUUUGUUAAUAAUUUAAGACCAGUAUAUUCUCUUCUCAG
Molecule: long non-coding RNA, 366 nt
Filed under: Monodelphis domestica (gray short-tailed opossum)
Lineage: Eukaryota; Metazoa; Chordata; Mammalia; Didelphimorphia; Didelphidae
Description: lncRNA (ENSMODG00000051172.1)
Source: RNAcentral